Molecule: long non-coding RNA, 1167 nt
Filed under: Gouania willdenowi (blunt-snouted clingfish)
Lineage: Eukaryota; Metazoa; Chordata; Actinopteri; Blenniiformes; Gobiesocidae
Description: lncRNA (ENSGWIG00000007461.1)
Source: RNAcentral
GACUAAACUAGGUUUCUUUUUACUUUACAUUUUAUUGUACUUUGACACUGCCAGAUAUAUGACAUAUUGUGUAGAACUCUUAUUUUUUACUCUAUUAAAACCUCAAUAAAUGAUAGUUUUAUUGCAAAAAAGGCCAUACGAUUGAUAAACAAUGCAUGAUAUUAUGACCACACACAUCCAUUAUUUGUUCAAUUAAAACUUAGGAAAUUCAAAUACAUUGUUUAUUAUAAAAUACUAGUGCAGUGCCCAUAGGAAGUAUGUCUUGCUAUAGAAAUAUGGGAGGUGAAGUAGCUUUUUUGUGAAUGGUUUACAUGGGGGCUUUAAUUCCUCUUUAAAUCAGAAUAAAAGUUAAUCCUCUUUAAACUGACCUUGUAAACACUCAAUUUCUUAAUGCAGAUACACAGAUGUUGGCAUAACAACGGUAAGGGAGACUAAGUUUCUGUUUCGAUUUCAAAACGGAGCAGAGAGAGAAUUCUACCAAUUGUCGUUUAGCCGAACAGCUCAAUGUUUACACGUUGUCAUGGUGACUAAAAUGGAAGCUCCGCACAGAGCUUUCAUCUUUGUGCCAGAGGAGGUACCAAAAACAUUAAAGUCAGUUUAAUAACCUGAAAACAAGCCAUACAGUCAGUUUAGUAAAAGUCUGAAGAAUAUCUACUCUAUUCUACUCUAAAGAUUGACCAGCAGAUGUCCUCAGUGAGGAAAACUUUUGUGACCAAAAUGAAGACCACGAGAAAGAGUUCAACUCCAGUCCACGUGCGCGUUAAUGAUGCCACACCAGCCCACGUGCAGAUGAAGAGCGGCAUGAAGAGCUCUCAGGGAAAGCCUCUUCGUCCUUCAGCUGAAGGGAAAACCUGUGUCCCAUGGAUUCCUCCAGGGAAAAACUGCCCUUGGAAACACACUCAAAAGUGUGAUGUGAGCAGACGCUUGUGGUGCUCUUCAUCAUUCCACGAACAUUCCACCAAGGGGCCGACACACCACCAGCAGAUCUGUCCUCCUCGUGCCCAUGCAUCCAAGCGCGAGUUCUCCCAGUUUAAGCUGACAGUGGCCGACCUGCUGUCUGAGGAUGAGGAUGAGAAUCAGGAUGAGUAUCAGGAUGAGGAUCAGGAUGAGGAUCAGAAUGAGGAUCAGAAGAGCCUGAAGGGACUCAUCACUCAUUACGAGAGGAAG